RNAcentral lists this ribosomal RNA (277 nucleotides) under uncultured bacterium. RNAcentral describes it as "partial 16S ribosomal RNA". It matches the Rfam family "Bacterial small subunit ribosomal RNA", at positions 28 to 314 of the family's 1533-position model. The record is from RNAcentral.
GGUAAACGCUGGCGGCGUGCCUAAAACAUGCAAGUCGAACGGCGCACCUUCGGGUGUGCAGUGGCAGACGGCUGAGUAACGCGUGGGUGACCUGCCGCACGGUGGGGGAUACCGGCCCGAAAGGGUCGCUAAGACCGCAUACGCACCUAGUCGCACGGGUAGGUGGAAAACCGCAAGGUGCCGAGCGAGGGGCCCGCGUUCGAUUAGCUGGUUGGUGGGGUAACGGCCUACCAAGGCGACGAUCGAUAGCUGGUCUCAGCGGAUGAUCAGCCAGACU